Molecule: long non-coding RNA, 841 nt
Filed under: Malus domestica (apple)
Lineage: Eukaryota; Viridiplantae; Streptophyta; Magnoliopsida; Rosales; Rosaceae
Description: long non-coding RNA (MDOM_LNC015952)
Source: RNAcentral
AAGAACACAAAGAACACAAGGAUUUUAUCGUGGUUCGCCCCAAUGUUUGGGCUACGUCCACACUGAUUAUGUAUUUAUUUGAGGGAAUAGAGAGGGAGAGGGUGAGAGCUUCUGAGAGUUUUUGAGGGUGAGAGAGGGGAUCUCAGGCCUAUGAAUUGGCCUCCGAGAGUGAGAGUGAGCUCUCUCCAAUUGUGAGGGUGAGGGGUCCUUUUAUAGAAUAAGGACUCCUCACUUAUUACAUAUUUGCCCCUUCCUUUAUCCCAUAAUUACAUUUAAGUCCCCUGAGUAUUUGUACGAGAUCUAAAUACGAGGCCCUAAAUAUGGUAUAAACAGUAGUCCCCCAAGUCUUCAGUCAAGAGAGUCUUUUGGCUGGAGACUUGAAAUUCAGUCCAUGUGUGGGCCGAAGUAACUAGAUGUCGUCUAGAACUGAUGCUCGAUAUGAGGCGGUGCCCAAUCUGAAAUGAUGUUCAACUAGAAGUAGCACAUGUUGUGAGGCCGCUUUGCUUGUAGCUUGUGUUGCCUUGGUUGGCUCGGCUUGUGGUGUUGAAGGUGAAUGAGUCCCUUUUAUAGGAUAAGGGCUCACUCCUCAAUACAUAAGUGAUGGGCUAGAGUCCCCCAAGUAUUUUUCAUGAGUGCUCUCUAAAAGUGAAGGAGUCCCUUUUAUAGAAUAAGGGCUCGCUCCUCAAUACAUAAGUGAUGGGCUAGAGUCUCCGAAGUAUUUUUUAUGAGGCCCAGUUGAGGCCCAAUAUAUGGUACAUAAUGUAGUCCCCCAAGUCUUCGGUCAAUAGAGUCUGUUGGCUGGAGACUUCAAAUUGAAUCCAUGUAUGGGCCGAAGUGGUGG